Molecule: ribosomal RNA, 264 nt
Filed under: uncultured bacterium
Lineage: Bacteria
Description: partial 16S ribosomal RNA
Rfam family: Bacterial small subunit ribosomal RNA
Source: RNAcentral
GUCCACGCUGUAAACGAUGUCUGCUAGCCGUUGGGAUCCUUGAGGUUUCGGUGGCGCAGCUAACGCGAUAAGCAGACCGCCUGGGGAGUACGGCCGCAAGGUUAAAACUCAAAUGAAUUGACGGGGGCCCCGCACAAGCGGUGGAGCAUGUGGUUUAAUUCGAUGCAACGCGAAGAACCUUACCACCCCUUGACAUCCAGCGAACUGUCCAGAGAUGGACGGGUGCCUUCGGGAACGCUGAGACAGGUGCUGCAUGGCUGUCGU